This 219-nucleotide ribosomal RNA is filed under the name Triticum aestivum (bread wheat). RNAcentral describes it as "partial small subunit ribosomal RNA". Lineage: Eukaryota; Viridiplantae; Streptophyta; Magnoliopsida; Poales; Poaceae. The record is from RNAcentral.
GGUUGCAAUCGCAUUGUUAUUAAUUCUGAUAAUUUGGAGGUUAUUGAAACGAUGAAUAAUGGCGAACGGUCAGCAGGAGCGGCGACGGCAAUUUUUGAUGAUUGCUAUUUUUUGGCGUGUGAUUUUCCUACCUCUAGGUUUGAACAUUGUAAUAGGGAAGCCAAUAAGGUUGCACACGAGCUUGCUAGGUUGGCUAGAUUUUCGUCGAAGGGCCUAUGA